CCUACGGGUGACAGCAGUGAGGAAUAUUGGUCAAUGGGCGAGAGCCUGAACCAGCCAAGUCGCGUGAAGGACGACGGUCCUACGGGUUGUAAACUUCUUUUGUCAGGGAACAAAGGCGGGGACGAGUCCCCGGCCGAGGGUACCUGAAGAAAAAGCAUCGGCUAACUCCGUGCCAGCAGCCGCGGUAAUACGGAGGAUGCGAGCGUUAUCCGGAUUUAUUGGGUUUAAAGGGUGCGCAGGCGGUCUGUUAAGUCAGCGGUAAAAGCCCGGGGCUCAACCCCGGCGCGCCGUUGAAACUGGCAGUCUCGAGUUGGAGAGAGGUAUGCGGAAUGCGCGGUGUAGCGGUGAAAUGCAUAGAUAUCGCGCAGAACUCCGAUUGCGAAGGCAGCAUGCCGGCUCCGCACUGACGCUGAGGCACGAAAGCGUGGGUAUCGAACAGGAUUAGAUACCCUUGUAGUC
RNAcentral lists this ribosomal RNA (459 nucleotides) under uncultured bacterium. RNAcentral describes it as "partial 16S ribosomal RNA". It matches the Rfam family "Bacterial small subunit ribosomal RNA", at positions 338 to 795 of the family's 1533-position model. The record is from RNAcentral.